GACGAACGCUGGCGGCGUGCCUAAUACAUGCAAGUUGAGCGAUGAAGAUUGGUGCUUGCACCAAUUUGAAGAGCAGCGAACGGGUGAGUAACGCGUGGGGAAUCUGCCUUUGAGCGGGGGACAACAUUUGGAAACGAAUGCUAAUACCGCAUAACAACUUUAAACAUAAGUUUUAAGUUUGAAAGAUGCAAUUGCAUCACUCAAAGAUGAUCCCGCGUUGUAUUAGCUAGUUGGUGAGGUAAAGGCUCACCAAGGCGAUGAUACAUAGCCGACCUGAGAGGGUGAUCGGCCCCAUUGGGACUGAGACACGGCCCAAACUCCUACGGGAGGCAGCAGUAGGGAAUCUUCGGCAAUGGACGAAAGUCUGACCGAGCAACGCCGCGUGAGUGAAGAAGGUUUUCGGAUCGUAAAACUCUGUUGGUAGAGAAGAACGUUGGUGAGAGUGGAAAGCUCAUCAAGUGACGGUAACUACCCAGAAAGGGACGGCUAACUACGUG
RNAcentral lists this ribosomal RNA (497 nucleotides) under uncultured bacterium. Its description in RNAcentral is "partial 16S ribosomal RNA". It matches the Rfam family "Bacterial small subunit ribosomal RNA", at positions 28 to 507 of the family's 1533-position model. The record is from RNAcentral.